Molecule: long non-coding RNA, 616 nt
Organism: Xenia sp. Carnegie-2017
Lineage: Eukaryota; Metazoa; Cnidaria; Anthozoa; Malacalcyonacea; Xeniidae
Exons: 2
Source: RefSeq, a predicted model, not a curated record
CUUCAGAUCAUCGUGCUAAAGAAGAAACAACUGCAUAAGUUAAAGCAUAAAAUGAAUUGGUCAAUCCAUUUAUCAAUAUUGUCUUUGAUUAUUCUCAUAACAUUGCACUGUGAGGUUCGUGGCAAAAGUUUAGGAGAUUCUGCAAUAGAAAACAAUAAACGACAAAAAGUGCCAGGUUGGUGGGGGCGAAGAGAUACAAUCGAAGGAGCCGGUCCUUAUUAUAAAAGUCACGACAGAAAUAAUUUGGGCAAUUGGUGGGGGCGAAGAAACUCACUGGAAGGAGCCGCUUUUUACUACAAAGACCAUGACAGGAAGAAACCAGGCGAUUGGUGGGGACGAAGAGAUGAAAUUGAUGAUGCAAAUUCCGCUAAUGAAGUAAUGGGAGAUGAAAGACGAUAUGAAAAGGAAUUUUAUGGCGAAUCUACCUGAAAACCUUUUGGUGACGAGUGGGAACGUUGAACUUCGAUAAAUUCUCUAAAAUACUUUAUUGAGCAUUAUAAAAUAUAUACCGUGUAAUAGCAAAAAACAUUUUGGCGAAAAAUACUUUUGCCGUAUCUUGCAUAAUAAAAUGCUGUGCAUGAGCAAGCAAAAAAAAAAUAAAUGUGAAUUGCCAAAA